Oncorhynchus kisutch (coho salmon) is the source of this 5443-nucleotide long non-coding RNA. RefSeq lists it as uncharacterized. The record is from RefSeq and is a predicted model, not a curated record. The transcript is spliced from 2 exons. NCBI's taxonomy places the organism in Eukaryota, Metazoa, Chordata, Actinopteri, Salmoniformes, Salmonidae.
AAACCAAGCCACCCAGCCCACCAAACCAAGCCACCCAGCCCACUAAACCAAGCCACCCAGCCCACUAAACUAAGCCACCCAGCCCACCAAACCAAGCCACCCAGCCCACCAAACCAAGCCACCCAGCCCACUAAACCAAGCCACCCAGCCCACCAAACCAAGCCACCCAGCCCACUAAACCAAGCCACCCAGCCCACCAAACCAAGCCACCCAGCCCACUAAACCAAGCCACCCAGCCCACCAAACCAAGCCACCCAGCCCACUAAACCAAGCCACCCAGCCCACCAAACCAAGCCUCCCAGCAAGCUACACACCAAGCGUCUCGUCUCUCCCUAGCUGUUCUAUCCUGUCCUACAGCUCAUAUAGAGACAAUGUAUUAUAACUGUACAUUACAUAUAUCCUCUAAUAUAUAAAUAUAUAUAUAUAUAUGUAUACCCUGUCAGUAGCUGCCCUCCACUCUACUGUCAGUAGCUGCCCUCCACUCUACUGUCAGUAGCUGCCCUCCACUCUACUGUCAGUAGCUGCCCUCCACUCUACUGUCAGUAGCUGCCCUCCACUCUACUGUCUGAGCCAGUGGUGUAGUGGAGGGUCAACACAUGUAGACGCCGGUCACCUUUUCUUUACUAUCGGGGGGAAAUGAAUUGAAAUAUAGGGAUUGAAUGUUACCUUUUUCACUGGAAUGGUGUGGACUGGGUUACGAUUCAGUAGAAUUGGGUUCAACUCUGGUUUCAACUGGACUGGGUUACGAUUCAGUAGGAUUGGGUUCAACUCUGGUUUCAACUGGACUGGGGUUACGAUUCAGUAGGAUUGGGUUCAACUCUGGUUUCAACUGGACCCGGUUACGAUUCAGUAGGAUUGGGAUCAAAUCUGGGUUCAACUGGACCGGGGUGAGAUUCAGUAGGAUUGGGAUCAACUCUGGUUUCAACUGGACUGGGUUACGAUUCAGUAGGAUUGGGAUCAACUCUGGUUUCAACUGGACCGGGGUUACGAUUCAGUAGGAUUGGGAUCAACUCUGGUUUCAACUGGACCGGGGUUAUGAUUCAGUAGGCUUGGGGUCAACUCUGUUUUCAACUGGACCGGGGUGAGAUUCAGUAAGAUUGGGAUCAACUCUGGGUUCAACUGGACCGGGGUGAGAUUCAGUAAGAUUGGGAUCAACUCUGGUUUCAACUGGACCGGGGUUACGUUUCAGUAGGAUUGGGUUCAACUCUGGUUUCAACUGGACCGGGGUUAUGAUUCAGUAGGCUUGGGGUCAACUCUGGUUUCAACUGGACUGGGUUACGAUUCAGUAGGAUUGGGAUCAACUCUGGUUUCAACUGGACCGGGGUUACGAUUCAGUAGGAUUGGGAUCAACUCUGGUUUCAACUGGACCGGGGUUAUGAUUCAGUAGGCUUGGGGUCAACUCUGUUUUCAACUGGACCGGGGUGAGAUUCAGUAAGAUUGGGAUCAACUCUGGGUUCAACUGGACCGGGGUGAGAUUCAGUAAGAUUGGGAUCAACUCUGGUUUCAACUGGACCGGGGUUACGUUUCAGUAGGAUUGGGUUCAACUCUGGUUUCAACUGGACCGGGGUUAUGAUUCAGUAGGCUUGGGGUCAACUCUGGUUUCAACUGGACCGGGGUUAUGAUUCAGUAGGCUUGGGGUCAACCCUGUUUUCAGUUCAGACAAUUUGAAAUGCUACUUGUCAAUAGUCAGAAUCUACAUAGAAAAAUAAUUUGUUAUUUCAAUACAAUCAUUGAAAUCCUGAGUUGAGGUCAGCACUCACAUGUUCACACAAAUCUUCCAUUGACAUCAACAUAUGAUCUACACAGAAGUCUACUUUUAAGUGUGCACAGAGAUCUCAAGGACUAGGAUUCCUCCCAGACUGACUUUGGGUUCACUUUGGGUCCGAUUCAGACUUGAGAUAAGUAGACUUACAGUAAAUCAUUUGUUUUUGUUUUACUGAAGUCCACAUUUAGUAAUAAACUCAAGUCUGAAUUGUGACCUUCCUGACCUAAUUUUGAUCUGAAAUGGGGUUUGACCCGAAACCCUGCUGUCUGUCUGUCCCCCUUCAGGGCUGUCUGUCAUUCUGCUGCUCACGUAGACAACCAGACAGUCUGGUUUUAAUCCAGAUGUUUAACAUAGCUGACAUUAGUUUUGUAUGUCUGCCUGUUUGUAUUAAGAUUAAAAAAUAUAACAUGGUGGAAGUUGCUCUCUCUGUGAGAUUCCCCCAAUAACACAAAUAUAUUAGUGUGGGUGUAGUGUGUGUCUAGUCAAAUGUAGUGCACUAUAUAGGGAAUAGGGUGCUAUUUGGGACUCAGCCGAGGUGUAGUUAAGACCGUUUCUAGAUAAUGUUUUAAAGAGGAGCACUGUGUUGUUUAGGGUUACAGAAGUCCUCUAUCUUUCCCAACACUCCCAAAGUUUUCCAGAAGUCCUCUAUCUUUCCCAACACUCCCAAAGUUUUCCAGAAAUCCCGGUUGGACGAUUCCUGGAAUGGCGAUCGGAUAAGCAGGAAAUACGGGAAUCGUCCAACUAGGAUUUGUUAACCUCCUCAAAGUUCCAUGGUAUUUAACAGAGUUUUUGCAACGCUACUAGGUGUCUAGAUAACAUCUUUAAACAGGAGGGUGUAUUGAGGUAAUACUGUAGUGUUGAUGGCACCAGUUAACUGACCAGUCUGAUUUUAGGAAGAAACAACUCACUCUGGACACAGAUCCAGUUACCUGACCAGUCUGAUUUUAGGAAGAAACGACUCACUCUGGACACAGAUCCAGUUAACUGACCAGUCUGAUUUUAGGAAGAAACGACUCACUCUGGACACAGAUCCAGUUAACUGACCAGUCUGAUUUUAGGAAGAAACGACUCACUCUGGACACAGAUCCAGUUAACUAACCAGUCUGAUUUUAGAAGAAACAACUCAGUCUGGACACUGAUCCUAAAUUGAGAUGUAUUCUCAUCAAUAGCAGCAUUAGAGCCACAUUUUUAUAGUGCAAAAGCAAUGUGCCAAAAUGUACGGUUAAACUUGUUAUAAUCUGGAGGUUGGAUUUCAUUUAACACUUUUCUUCAAUGUGUGUUUAUAAAGAGACGUUUGUUAUGGCAUCGCUCCGUUUACUGAACUCUAGUGAGGCAAUCGCCUCUUUUAUAACGCGUAUUGUUGAAGAAAAGUUUUCAAAUUAAAUCUCACUGUGAGAUUAUGAGGUUUACUGUCAUUUUGUUUCGCGCUAUGAAAAUAGGAACCGUUCGUCAGGAUCUGGGAACCUUCCCCUGUUGAUGAAAUGGAACAGAGUGGGUCUCGUCGAAACUGUCUGAAUCCCGAACGGCACCCAGUUUAUGGUCUGGGAACCUUCCCCUGUUGAUGUUGAUGAAAUGGAAACAGAGUGGGUCUCGUAGAAACUGUCUGAAUCCCGAACGGCACCCAGUUCCCGAAUUAGUCCACUACUUUUGACCACAAACCUAUUUUUUAUUUUACCUUUAUUUUACUAGGCAAGUCAGUUACAAAUUCUUAUUUUCAAUGAUGGCCUGGGAACAGUGGGUUAACUGCCUGUUCAGGGGCAGAACGACAGAUUUGUACCUUGUCAGCUCAGGGAUUUGAACUUGCAACCUUCCGGUUACUAGUCCAACGCUCUAACCACUAGGCUACCCUGCCGCCCCUGUAGAGCUCUGGUCAACAAGUAAUGCGCUUAUAUAGGGAAUAGGGUGCCAUUUUGGAUUGAGACACUAUUGUUCAACUGAAAAUAUAAUUUGAUCAGGAGGUGUUUUAAAUGUUUUUAUUUUUGAUUGUGUCCGACAGCCUUUAUCCAAAACGGGGAUGUGCACGCAGGUCACGUUUGUGUCUUAAAGAGUGUGAGUUUGUCCCAAAUGACACCCUACUCCCUAUGUAGUGCACUACUACAGUAACCACAGAGGGUUUAGCCAAUCAGAGCUCUGGUUAAAAGUAGUGCACUACUACAGUAACCACAGAGGGUUUAGCCAAUCAGAGCUCUGGUUAAAAGUAGUGCACUACUACAGUAACCACAGAGGGUUUAGCCAAUCAGAGCUCUGGUUAAAAGUAGUGCACUACUACAGUAACCACAGAGGGUUUAGCCAAUCAGAGCUCUGGUUAAAAGUAGUGCACUACUACAGUAACCACAGAGGGUUUAGCCAAUCAGAGCUCUGGUUAAAAGUAGUGCACUACUACAGUAACCACAGAGGGUUUAGCCAAUCAGAGCUCUGGUUAAAAGUAGUGCACUACUACAGUAACCACAGAGGGUUUAGCCAAUCAGAGCUCUGGUUAAAAGUUGUGCACUACUACAGUAACCACAGAGGGUUAGCCAAUCAGAGCUCUGGUUAAAAGUAGUGCACUAUAUAGGGAAUAGUGCUCCAUUUGGGCAGUAGUUCAUCUGGUUGUAGGUAGUGUACUAUAUAGGGAACAGGGCUCCAUUUGGGGAGUAGUUCAUCUGGUUGUAGGUAGUGUACUAUAUAGGGAACAGGGCUCCAUUUGGGGAGUAGUUCAGCUGGUUGUAGGUAGUGUACUAUAUAGGGAACAGGGCUCCAUUUGGGGAGUAGUUCAUCUGGUUGUAGGUAGUGUACUAUAUAGGGAACAGGGCUCCAUUUGGGGAGUAGUUCAUCUGGUUGUAGGUAGUGUACUAUAUAGGGAACAGGGCUCCAUUUGGGGAGUAGUUAAUCUGGUUGUAGGUAGUGUACUAUAUAGGGAACAGGGCUCCAUUUGGGGAGUAGUUCAUCUGGUUGUAGGUAGUGUAAAUACAAAAUAUAUAAUGUCCUUUUUUUCCCACAGCAGAAGAAUGGAUGUUUUUUAAAACCUUUUCUAUUUAAUAUAUAUUUAAAAUGUUGUGCUUAUUUCUUUCUGUUGAUUUGUUGUCUUCUAUGUGGACAGGGACAGGAAAGAGACCUUUUCAUUUGGUUUGUUAAAUACGUCUUUUCACAACGUUGUCUUGCCUCAAUAAGUUUUUUUUUCUUCCUUCAAUAAGGGACAACCUUUGUAUCGGUGAAGCUGAUUUGACUAGAACUUCAAAUAGAUCCUUUUCUCCGUUGUGAAUGAGAAACCACUUCUUCAAGUUCACCUGCAGCCUUGAUUCCAAUGCACCUUUUAUACAGAGCAACGUGUAACAGUUCAGAUGGGGACGACUGGACAUGAUGACGCAGAAAACACAUUACAUGUAUCCAGUAGCAAAUUAAUGUUUUUAUUCUGUGUUUAAAGAAAUAAAUCGAUUUUCUAUCCUGUUAGAGGUUACCGGGGUCGGAGGUCAAUCACUUUUCUAUCAUGUUAGAGGUUACCGGGGUCGGGGGUCAAAAUCACUCCUAUCAUGUUAUAGGUUACCAGGGUCGGGGGUCAAAAUCACUCCUAUCAUGUUAUAGGUUACCGGGGUCGGGGGUCAAAAUCACUUUUCAAAUUCCAGUCAAAUGAGAAUGUUCACUGACAUUCCAGUUCCAACUGUCAUCAAUGCCUUUCAAUAAAGAACAUUUGGAAUUCGG